CUCAUCUGGGCACAGGCCCAUCUAUCUACUCCUGUGGCAUUUGUAUCUCCAAACAAAGCAACCCUCCCCCUUCACCACAGCCUUCAACACUGUCCCUCAAGUUUUUGUUACAAGCAGCAUAACAGCACAUCAAGAACAUCUGUGCUUUUAUGUGGCUUGUGCAGGUUGUUUUCCCUUAUUGCUUGCAUCAUUGUGCAAAUAUCAAAGAGAAAGUGAAGCUGGCAAGAACACAGAGGUCUUGGAAAGGCAGCCUUUCCCAGGCAGCUUCUACAGAUGCCAACAAAUGACAGCAUGAGAUUCAUUCUUCAGCUUUCUGGAUGCUGUGCAUGCAUUAUGCAACACACAAUUUUCAAACCAGUUAAACAAACCACAAAUGUGAUUGUGUCACUAAGUAAACCGAGCAGAAGGACCACCAAUGUCCAGAGCAGCAACUACUUACCCAACCUGGGCAUAACUGCCCCCAAGAACUGUUCGUCUUCCUGAAAAUGGUUUUCUUGUAGAGAUUCAAGCAGUUUCUGUAAGACAUC
This is a long non-coding RNA of Vidua chalybeata, 527 nucleotides long. RefSeq lists it as uncharacterized. The transcript has 4 exons. The record is from RefSeq and is a predicted model, not a curated record. NCBI's taxonomy places the organism in Eukaryota, Metazoa, Chordata, Aves, Passeriformes, Viduidae.